RNAcentral lists this ribosomal RNA (253 nucleotides) under uncultured bacterium. Its description in RNAcentral is "partial 16S ribosomal RNA". It matches the Rfam family "Bacterial small subunit ribosomal RNA", at positions 524 to 776 of the family's 1533-position model. The record is from RNAcentral.
GACAGAGGGUGCAAACGUUGCUCGGAAUCACUGGGCGUAAAGGGCGUGUAGGCGGGAAGGAAAGUCAGAUGUGAAAUCCCCAGGCUCAACCUGGGAACUGCAUUUGAAACUCCCUUUCUUGAGUACCGGAGAGGAAAGCGGAAUUCCUGGUGUAGAGGUGAAAUUCGUAGAUAUCAGGAGGAACACCAGCGGCGAAGGCGGCUCGCUGGGACGGUACUGACGCUGAGACGCGAAAGCGUGGGGAGCAAACAGG